UAGGUGAAGAGAGGAAAUUGUUUUUCAUCAUCUCCAAUGGAGGAAGAGAAGAUGUCUCUUUUCAUCAUCUUCAACGGAUUUAUUGAGAACCAUUCCCCAAUUUUUGGGGUUUUUCCUAGGAGAGCAGAAAGGGACCCCAUUAUUUGGUAAGAUGGUGUUUGAGCUAUUGGUCCUACCUGUUUGAUUCCAGGUAGAAAUGAAGUUAAAUUUACCAUCAAUGGGAGAUCCAUUUGGUGCAAAAAGUGUCAAACCAAGGAAGAGUAAGCAUGAAGAUGAGGAUAAAUGGUGCAGUCUUGAUUGUUGUUGUAUAUGAGUGGUGUGAACUUAUUGUGUGAUAGAUAUCAAAUUAAGAGUGUUUGGUAGUGAUCCUAGAAAACGCUUUUAAUAUUUUUAGUACUUAAAAUUUUUUAUCAUUCAAGUGUUAAAAAUGUUAUAAACAUUUUCUAGAAUUACUCCUAAACACACUCUAAGUAAGUUGUAUAUUUCAUAAUGAGAUCAUAAACUUCGGUUGUGUGAGAUAAUAAUAAUUUGAAUUCAUAUC
This is a long non-coding RNA of Vitis vinifera (wine grape), 541 nucleotides long. RefSeq lists it as uncharacterized. The transcript has 2 exons. The record is from RefSeq and is a predicted model, not a curated record. Lineage: Eukaryota; Viridiplantae; Streptophyta; Magnoliopsida; Vitales; Vitaceae.